GCAGCAGGCCGUCCAUGUCAAAGAUGAGUGCCGUCCUUCUCUUUUCCCCUCCACCCUUCUGCUUCAGCUCACGUGACUGGACUUUGCACUCGUUUACUGAUAAUACAAGCUCAGCCAUCUUGUUUGAAAACUAGAGGCAGAAACAGAAACAAUUCCGUGCUGCAAGGGUACUCUCCACGUGGAUUUGGUGUUUUUGGGUGUUCAGUCCCUGUCAGACCAGCAGCUGAGGCUGUUCUAAUACCAGGAGAACCACAGUAGCCAGUGGGAGAAGCACUGCAUACCGCUGCCUGGUGGAAACCGUACUUGGUGGGGAAAGAAGUCAAGGAAGGAGGAAGAGCAGCAGCAGGAGUAGUGAUGGAGCGGUAGUGGAAACAGCAGCACCUGGGCAAGCAGAAUUGGAUGAAUCAAGCAGCCACAUCCAAGAGGGGGAGUACUGUUUGUAUCCAGCACUGCUUACAAACUGGCAGCUCUGAAUUAAAAGCUGAUGACAUGGGUUACUCAUUUACAGAUGUUACUCUUAGCUACGUAAGAAGAGUUACAUCUUCAAUUUAUAUCAGUUGUUGUAACUGACAACUGAAU
RNAcentral lists this long non-coding RNA (579 nucleotides) under Gallus gallus (chicken). RNAcentral's name for it is "long non-coding RNA NONGGAT001070". Lineage: Eukaryota; Metazoa; Chordata; Aves; Galliformes; Phasianidae. The record is from RNAcentral.